Molecule: ribosomal RNA, 252 nt
Filed under: uncultured prokaryote
Description: partial 16S rRNA
Rfam family: Archaeal small subunit ribosomal RNA
Source: RNAcentral
ACCGGCGGCUCGAGUGGUGGCCACUAUUACUGGGCUUAAAGCGUUCGUAGCUGGCUUGUUAAGUCUCUGGGGAAAUCUUCCGGCUAAACCGGAAGGCGUCUCAGGGAUACUGGCAGGCUAGGGACCGGAAGAGGUGAGAGGUACUCCAGGAGUGGGAAUGAACAGCAGGAAUCCGAGAGGGAGGAGCUAGGGCGGGGGCGUCUCACCAGGACAGCUCCUCCAGUGGGCACCGUAACCAGCGAGAGCAAGGCG